RNAcentral lists this ribosomal RNA (1457 nucleotides) under Limosilactobacillus reuteri. Its description in RNAcentral is "bacterial SSU rRNA". It matches the Rfam family "Bacterial small subunit ribosomal RNA". The record is from RNAcentral. Lineage: Bacteria; Bacillati; Bacillota; Bacilli; Lactobacillales; Lactobacillaceae.
CUGCUAUACAUGCAAGUCGUACGCACUGGCCCAACUGAUUGAUGGUGCUUGCACCUGAUUGACGAUGGAUYACCAGUGAGUGGCGGACGGGUGAGUAACACGUAGGUAACCUGCCCCGGAGCGGGGGAUAACAUUUGGAAACAGAUGCUAAUACCGCAUAACAACAAAAGCCACAUGGCUUUUGUUUGAAAGAUGGCUUUGGCUAUCACUCUGGGAUGGACCUGCGGUGCAUUAGCUAGUUGGUAAGGUAACGGCUUACCAAGGCGAUGAUGCAUAGCCGAGUUGAGAGACUGAUCGGCCACAAUGGAACUGAGACACGGUCCAUACUCCUACGGGAGGCAGCAGUAGGGAAUCUUCCACAAUGGGCGCAAGCCUGAUGGAGCAACACCGCGUGAGUGAAGAAGGGUUUCGGCUCGUAAAGCUCUGUUGUUGGAGAAGAACGUGCGUGAGAGUAACUGUUCACGCAGUGACGGUAUCCAACCAGAAAGUCACGGCUAACUACGUGCCAGCAGCCGCGGUAAUACGUAGGUGGCAAGCGUUAUCCGGAUUUAUUGGGCGUAAAGCGAGCGCAGGCGGUUGCUUAGGUCUGAUGUGAAAGCCUUCGGCUUAACCGAAGAAGUGCAUCGGAAACCGGGCGACUUGAGUGCAGAAGAGGACAGUGGAACUCCAUGUGUAGCGGUGGAAUGCGUAGAUAUAUGGAAGAACACCAGUGGCGAAGCGGCUGUCUGGUCUGCAACUGACGCUGAGGCUCGAAAGCAUGGGUAGCGAACAGGAUUAGAUACCCUGGUAGUCCAUGCCGUAAACGAUGAGUGCUAGGUGUUGGAGGGUUUCCGCCCUUCAGUGCCGGAGCUAACGCAUUAAGCACUCCGCCUGGGGAGUACGACCGCAAGGUUGAAACUCAAAGGAAUUGACGGGGGCCCGCACAAGCGGUGGAGCAUGUGGUUUAAUUCGAAGCUACGCGAAGAACCUUACCAGGUCUUGACAUCUUGCGCUAACCUUAGAGAUAAGGCGUUCCCUUCGGGGACGCAAUGACAGGUGGUGCAUGGUCGUCGUCAGCUCGUGUCGUGAGAUGUUGGGUUAAGUCCCGCAACGAGCGCAACCCUUGUUACUAGUUGCCAGCAUUAAGUUGGGCACUCUAGUGAGACUGCCGGUGACAAACCGGAGGAAGGUGGGGACGACGUCAGAUCAUCAUGCCCCUUAUGACCUGGGCUACACACGUGCUACAAUGGACGGUACAACGAGUCGCAAGCUCGCGAGAGUAAGCUAAUCUCUUAAAGCCGUUCUCAGUUCGGACUGUAGGCUGCAACUCGCCUACACGAAGUCGGAAUCGCUAGUAAUCGCGGAUCAGCAUGCCGCGGUGAAUACGUUCCCGGGCCUUGUACACACCGCCCGUCACACCAUGGGAGUUUGUAACGCCCAAAGUCGGUGGCCUAACCUUUAUGGAGGGAGCCGCCUAA